This 492-nucleotide ribosomal RNA is filed under the name uncultured bacterium. RNAcentral describes it as "partial 16S ribosomal RNA". It matches the Rfam family "Bacterial small subunit ribosomal RNA", at positions 29 to 507 of the family's 1533-position model. The record is from RNAcentral.
AGUGAACGCUGGCGGUAGGCCUAACACAUGCAAGUCGAACGGCAGCACAGUAAGUGCUUGCUCUUACGGGUGGCGAGUGGCGUACGGGUGAGGAAUACAUCGGAAUCUACUUUUUCGUGGGGGAUAACGUAGGUAAACUUACGCUAAUACCGCAUACGACCUUCGGGUGAAAGCAGGGGAUCUUCUGACCUUGCGGGAUUGAAUUAGCCGAUGUCGGAUUAGCUAGUUGGCGGGGUAAAUGCCCACCCAGGCGACGAUACGUAGAUGGUCUGGGAGGAGGGUCGGCCGCACGAGAACGGAGACACGGACCAGAGUACUACGGGAGGGAGCAGUGGGGAAUAGUAGACAGUGGGCGGAAGCAUGGUCCAAUCAGACCAAGUGGGUUGAGAAAGCCUUCGGGGUGUAAAGACCUUUUGUUGGGAGAGAAAAGCUGCAGGUUAAUACCACGCUGUAGUGACGGUAACCAAAAAAUAAGCACCGGCUAACUUCGUG